Molecule: RNA transcript, 2188 nt
Organism: Motacilla alba alba
Lineage: Eukaryota; Metazoa; Chordata; Aves; Passeriformes; Motacillidae
Exons: 4
Source: RefSeq, a predicted model, not a curated record
CUCCCAUGUAAAUCCUGGCAGGACGCAGCCAGCUCUGAGCUCAUUCACGUGAGAUCACCGGCUGGUUCGGGCCACGCGGGUGGGGACGUGCCGGGAGCUCCGCGGGACCCUGCCCCGGGGGCUGCCCGUCGCUUGGAGCUGCGAGGAGAGCUCGGCCCAUGCAACCCCUCUCCCUACGCUUCCCUCUUACAGCAGCACCGUGCCCGUGUGGCCGCAGCCGGCAUUCCCCAACCUCUGCAGACAGCCGGCAGGAACCUGCUGUCACACCGGGGUACUGGCUCUGAUCCUGGGCAUGGCACGUGGGACUCUGGGGAAUGGCAGGUGUGACACUGGGGAUCGGCCCUGGCACUGGGGAUUGAAGGUGUGGCACUGGGGAUCAGGUGUGACCUUGGGAUGGGAGAUGGGACACUGGAGGAGGCAGGUGUGACCUUGGGAAUGGAGAUCUGACCCUAAGGAUGGCAGGACUGGCGCUGGGAAUGGAAGGUGUGACACUGGGGAUCAGCCCUGGCGCUGGGGAUUGAAGGUGUGGCACUGGGUAUCACGUGUGACCCUUGGAAUGGGAGAUGGGACACAGGAGGAGGCAGGUGUGACCCUGAGAAUGGAGAUCUGGCCCUAAGGAUGGCAGGACUGGCACUGGGAAUGGAAGGUGUGGCACUGGGGAACAGGUUUGACAUUUGGGAUGGGAGUUGUGACCCUAGGAAUGGCAGGUCUGACCCUGAGGAUGGUGAGUUUGACCCUGGGGAUGGAAGUUGUGACGCUGAGGAUGGAAAUUGCGACACUGGAAGUGGAUGGUCUCAUCGUAGGGAUGGCGGGUCCGGCCCUGGGGAUGGCGGGUGUGGCACUGGGAAUGGAAGAUGCGGCCUUGGGAGUAGCGGGUCUGACGCUGGGGACAGCAGAUCUCAUCCUGGGGACAGCAACACUUGGAUUUUCCACCCCGGCCGAGGAGCAGAGGCCACGGCAGGUGAUGGAGCGGCCCUGGGAGCGGCGAUGCCUCGGGCGCAUCCAUCGGCAGCCGCGUGUCCCGGCGCAGCCUCGGGCUCCCGGCACCGCCCCUGGGGUAGGACACAGCCCCAGGUCACCUCCCGCUCCUCUGCCACCUGCCCCGCUUUUCCUUCGGCGUUCGAACCCUGCGGGAGCUUUGUCUGCAGUUGCGACUUCCCCCGGCCGCUGCCGCUCCAAAGAAAACAGAUCCGUGUGUUUGAAAAUCUCAGCUUACACAGCAUUCCUCCAGCUUCUGCUCCUUUUUGGGGCUUCUCCUUCUUCCUCUGGCUCGCUGACCUGAAAAUGCACUUUGUGCUUUCCCUGGGAGAGGUGGAUGAGGAGAGCUGCGGCAUAGCUGCAUAUUAACCCCCCCGGAUUUUCCCGAGGUGCCGCCGCCGCUCUCCCGCUCCGACAACUUUUUAAUCGCUCGCCCCAGAUAGACCCGAUUGGAUUUAUUUAUUUUCCCCCGCGAACAAAACCAUGGCGUUUCCUGCGCUCCUUUCUGGCUCUUCAGGCCCCUUUCAUGUCUCCCUGCCUGUGGAAGGACGGCCGGCCCCGCACACCGGGAUGGCGGCGGGAAUUUCAGCGGGAAUUCCAGCGACAAGCUGCUUAUCUUCGCUGCCAGGGCUCCUUGGAAAAGCACUUUCCAGGGAGAGGGGCUGUGCCUCCGCCAGGGUGUUGGGGAUCCACGUGCCAGCCCGGUGGGAUCUCAUCCCUUUCAUCCUACAAAACACUUAGGGGGAAUAUCUCCCUGGUCCCACGGUGCCUGUGGGAUGAGAGAAGUUUAUUCCCCACCGAUGUUUUAUUUAGGUAAUUUAAAUGUGAAGUGGCUGUGGAAUACAUUGGGCUGCAGCUCAUCACUUGAUGAGGGGCUGAUUGGGAUCGGAGAGACUCUGCCAGCAGGGAGGGAGGUGGGAGAGCCGGGAAUUUUGGGAAUGACGCCGGGUGUCACCAGUCCAGUCCUUUUAGAAUGGAGCAGGUGAGGACUCUGGGGAACACCAGGUCUGUGCGUGGCUCUUGGAUCCCUCGUGGAAUGGGAGCCUGGAGCAGCACCCCAGGACGGAGCUGUGUGGGAGCCGAGUCCCCCAAAACUCCUGACAUCCACGUGGGAAUGUCCAUGCCAGACCCAGGAAAAGGGAAGGGAGGUGGAAAUCCCAGUAACUCCUUAUGGAAGCACAAGGAUCAUCCACCCGGCCUGGGAUUUUGG